Molecule: ribosomal RNA, 1339 nt
Filed under: metagenome
Description: bacterial SSU rRNA
Rfam family: Bacterial small subunit ribosomal RNA
Source: RNAcentral
AGAGUUUGAUCCUGGCUCAGGACGAACGCUGGCGGCGCGCCUAACACAUGCAAGUCGAACGAGCGAGAGAGAGCUUGCUUUCUCGAGCGAGUGGCGAACGGGUGAGUAACGCGUGAGGAACCUGCCUCAAAGAGGGGGACAACAGUUGGAAACGACUGCUAAUACCGCAUAAGCCCACGGGUCGGCAUCGACCAGAGGGAAAAGGAGCAAUCCGCUUUGAGAUGGCCUCGCGUCCGAUUAGCUAGUUGGUGAGGUAACGGCCCACCAAGGCGACGAUCGGUAGCCGGACUGAGAGGUUGAACGGCCACAUUGGGACUGAGACACGGCCCAGACUCCUACGGGAGGCAGCAGUGGGGAAUAUUGCACAAUGGGGGAAACCCUGAUGCAGCGACGCCGCGUGGAGGAAGAAGGUCUUCGGAUUGUAAACUCCUGUUGUUGAGGAAGAUAAUGACGGUACUCAACAAGGAAGUGACGACUAACUACGUGCCAGCAGCCGCGGUAAAACGUAGGUCACAAGCGUUGUCCGGAAUUACUGGGUGUAAAGGGAGCGCAGGCGGGAAGACAAGUUGGAAGUGAAAUCCAUGGGCUCAACCCAUGAACUGCUUUCAAAACUGUUUUUCUUGAGUAGUGCAGAGGUAGGCGGAAUUCCCGGUGUAGCGGUGGAAUGCGUAGAUAUCGGGAGGAACACCAGUGGCGAAGGCGGCCUACUGGGCACCAACUGACGCUGAGGCUCGAAAGUGUGGGUAGCAAACAGGAUUAGAUACCCUGGUAGUCCACACCGUAAACGAUGAUUACUAGGUGUUGGAGGAUUGACCCCUUCAGUGCCGCAGUUAACACAAUAAGUAAUCCACCUGGGGAGUACGACCGCAAGGUUGAAACUCAAAGGAAUUGACGGGGGCCCGCACAAGCAGUGGAGUAUGUGGUUUAAUUCGACGCAACGCGAAGAACCUUACCAAGUCUUGACAUCCCUUGACGAUGCUGGAAACAGUAUUUCUCUUCGGAGCAAGGAGACAGGUGGUGCAUGGUUGUCGUCAGCUCGUGUCGUGAGAUGUUGGGUUAAGUCCCGCAACGAGCGCAACCCUUAUGGUCAGUUACUACGCAAGAGGACUCUGGCCAGACUGCCGUUGACAAAACGGAGGAAGGUGGGGAUGACGUCAAAUCAUCAUGCCCUUUAUGACUUGGGCUACACACGUACUACAAUGGCGUUAAACAAAGAGAAGCAAGACCGCGAGGUGGAGCAAAACUCAGAAACAACGUCCCAGUUCGGACUGCAGGCUGCAACUCGCCUGCACGAAGUCGGAAUUGCUAGUAAUCGUGGAUCAGCAUGCCACGGUGAAUA